CGCGUGGGAACGUGCCUUCUGGUUCGGAAUAACUCAGGGAAACUUGAGCUAAUACCGGAUACGCCCUUUUGGGAAAGGUUUACUGCCGGAAGAUCGGCCCGCGUCUGAUUAGCUAGUUGGCGGGGUAACGGCCCACCAAGGCGACGAUCAGUAGCUGGUCUGAGAGGAUGAUCAGCCACACUGGGACUGAGACACGGUCCAGACUCCUACGGGAGGCAGCAGUGGGGAAUAUUGCACAAUGGGGGAAACCCUGAUGCAGCCAUGCCGCGUGUGUGAAGAAGGCCUUCGGUUGUAAGCACU
RNAcentral lists this ribosomal RNA (300 nucleotides) under uncultured Methylobacterium sp. RNAcentral's name for it is "bacterial SSU rRNA". It matches the Rfam family "Bacterial small subunit ribosomal RNA", at positions 114 to 434 of the family's 1533-position model. The record is from RNAcentral. Lineage: Bacteria; Pseudomonadati; Pseudomonadota; Alphaproteobacteria; Hyphomicrobiales; Methylobacteriaceae.